Molecule: ribosomal RNA, 408 nt
Filed under: uncultured bacterium
Lineage: Bacteria
Description: bacterial SSU rRNA
Rfam family: Bacterial small subunit ribosomal RNA
Source: RNAcentral
AACGAACGCUGGCGGCGUGGAUAAGACAUGCAAGUCGAACGAGAGAAUUGCUAGCUUGCUAAUAAUUCUCUAGUGGCGCACGGGUGAGUAACACGUGAGUAACCUGCCCCCGAGAGCGGGAUAGCCCUGGGAAACUGGGAUUAAUACCGCAUAGUAUCGAAAGAUUAAAGCAGCAAUGCGCUUGGGGAUGGGCUCGCGGCCUAUUAGUUAGUUGGUGAGGUAACGGCUCACCAAGGCGAUGACGGGUAGCCGGUCUGAGAGGAUGUCCGGCCACACUGGAACUGAGACACGGUCCAGACACCUACGGGUGGCAGCAGUCGAGAAUCAUUCACAAUGGGGGAAACCCUGAUGGUGCGACGCCGCGUGGGGGAAUGAAGGUCUUCGGAUUGUAAACCCCUGUCAUGUGGG